UACGGAGGAUGCGAGCGUUAUCCGGAUUUAUUGGGUUUAAAGGGUGCGUAGGCGGGCUGUUAAGUCAGCGGUCAAAUGUCGGGGCUCAACCCCGGCCUGCCGUUGAAACUGGGGAUCUAGAGUGUGCGAGAGGUAUGCGGAAUGCGUGGUGUAGCAGUGAAAUGCAUAGAUAUCACGCAGAACCCCGAUUGCGAAGGCAGCAUACCGGCGGCGAUCUGACGCUGAGGCACGAAAGCGUGGGUAUCGAACAGG
Molecule: ribosomal RNA, 252 nt
Filed under: uncultured Bacteroidales bacterium
Lineage: Bacteria; Pseudomonadati; Bacteroidota; Bacteroidia; Bacteroidales
Description: partial 16S ribosomal RNA
Rfam family: Bacterial small subunit ribosomal RNA
Source: RNAcentral